Long non-coding RNA from Uranotaenia lowii, 1331 nucleotides. RefSeq lists it as uncharacterized. NCBI's taxonomy places the organism in Eukaryota, Metazoa, Arthropoda, Insecta, Diptera, Culicidae. The record is from RefSeq and is a predicted model, not a curated record. The transcript has 5 exons.
CUGAAAUCCAAACUCGUGAUACAACUGAGUGUGUCAUGUGUCUUCACUCAACAAAACAAAACAAAAAUGGCACGCGUGUGGUUGAAGUGAGCAGAAGCUUGCAGAUCAAAAUCGCAGAUCUUUUUCGCCGAAAGCUGGGAAAUACGUUUUCCGGUGGAGAAACGUAGCGGCGAAAUCGUCGAAGAGGAAGUCGACAAAACGUCCGGCCUAGUUCCUCAGCCACGAUUGCGACCACGAAACAGCUGCUUCCGCUGGAAGAGCAGAAGCUACCAUUCGAAUUCAUUCCCAUCAUCACCACACAGUAGGAAGUUUAUUUUUCUUCUCCCACGGCACAAGAGCACCCGGCAGCCGACGUGGCACAGCGGUCACAAUUGGUCAGGGAAGAUAUGCUGAUGGCUCGAAUGUUCGCCGAAACAAAUCAUAACCAAUUAGAAUGCGUACUUUCUUGCUGUGAUUUCGUGUCCCAAACCAAACGGAACCAGUUUUUUCUAUUAUAAAAUAUGCUCCGGUAAAAAAGUGCCAGAGUCAACAUGGAUACGUGGAUACUAACACUUCCGGCAUUCUGUCGAAUCCGGGCCAGUGGAAACGACGAGAAAUUCUUCGGUUGAAAUCGCUCAAAAACAGAAAGCUCUGCAGGCACGUCUUCAGCUGCCAUCGUUGUCAUCGGACUCCCGGACAAGUGGUUGGGGGUCGUGCGAGCCCGGUCAGGAUAUGCUUGCAGGAAUUCAGGAACGGAAGAAUCUAUUUUCCAGAGUAAACCUGGACUGAUGAUUCGAAUGGUAAUGGCGGUUCCAAAUGAAAGCAUUCUUGACUUGGAUCGGAACUAUAACCGUUGAUGGAACGCAUUCAAAGUGGAAUGCCCAAAGGAAGAACAGUCAGCUGAAGGCGGAACAUGCAACUAUUGCCAAACAGCAAUAUUCAAGCUUCCCAGCAUCAAUCGAUUCAUAAUGUCACCAGGUGUACCACUAUCACCAUCAACAGCAGCAACAGUAGGCAUAACUCUGGCGGAAGGAGAAUAUUCAACGUUCUGGGUCAUCUGGUAAAAUCGAUCACGACGAAACAGCUACCUUCAGUUAUUAUUGAUUUAAAAUUCUGGAAUAAAAUCCGAUGAACGAAAUGAAACCAGCAGCAGUGUUCAAUGGUCAUCAAACGCAGCAAGAAAUCCACUUCCAACUGAAUAGAUAAGUUCGCCAAUCGACAACAGGAGCCGAAAACCAUUCCAUCGGUACAGCGGGAAUACUACCUUGGCAUUGUUUACUGGAACUGUUUCUGUAGGAUCCGAAACUGUAUUGUAUUUUCAAAAAUUUAGUGGUUUUCCCUGCUCGAAUGCU